AGUUGCAGGGUAUAGACCCGAAACCCGGUGAUCUAGCCAUGGGCAGGUUGAAGGUUGGGUAACACUAACUGGAGGACCGAACCGACUAAUGUUGAAAAAUUAGCGGAUGACCUGUGGCUGGGGGUGAAAGGCCAAUCAAACCGGGAGAUAGCUGGUUCUCCCCGAAAGCUAUUUAGGUAGCGCCUCGUGAAUUCAUCUCCGGGGGUAGAGCACUGUUUCGGCUAGGGGGCCAUCCCGGCUUACCAACCCGAUGCAAACUGCGAAUACCGGAGAAUGUUAUCACGGGAGACACACGGCGGGUGCUAACGUCCGUCGUGAAGAGGGAAACAACCCAGACCGCCAGCUAAGGUCCCAAAGUCAUGGUUAAGUGGGAAACGAUGUGGGAAGGCCCAGACAGCCAGGAUGUUGGCUUAGAAGCAGCCAUCAUUUAAAGAAAGCGUAAUAGCUCACUGGUCGAGUCGGCCUGCGCGGAAGAUGUAACGGGGCUAAACCAUGCACCGAAGCUGCGGCAGCGAACGUAUCACC
This 525-nucleotide ribosomal RNA is filed under the name Salmonella enterica. Its description in RNAcentral is "partial 23S ribosomal RNA". It matches the Rfam family "Bacterial large subunit ribosomal RNA", at positions 698 to 1221 of the family's 2925-position model. The record is from RNAcentral. Lineage: Bacteria; Pseudomonadati; Pseudomonadota; Gammaproteobacteria; Enterobacterales; Enterobacteriaceae.